This 253-nucleotide ribosomal RNA is filed under the name uncultured bacterium. Its description in RNAcentral is "partial 16S ribosomal RNA". It matches the Rfam family "Bacterial small subunit ribosomal RNA", at positions 524 to 776 of the family's 1533-position model. The record is from RNAcentral.
UACGUAGGUGGCAAGCGUUGUCCGGAUUUACUGGGUGUAAAGGGCGUGUAGGCGGGUCUACAAGUCAGAUGUGAAAUGCCAAGGCUUAACCUUGGAGCUGCAUUUGAAACUGUAGGUCUUGAGUGAUGGAGAGGCAGGCGGAAUUCCUAGUGUAGCGGUGAAAUGCGUAGAUAUUAGGAGGAACACCAGUGGCGAAGGCGGCCUGCUGGACAUUAACUGACGCUGAGGCGCGAAAGCGUGGGGAGCAAACAGG